CUACAUGGUCCUGUGACUUGUGAGCGUACCUACUGGAAGAGACCAGAUUUGGAGCAGAGAUUAAUCUCAGAGGCAUCAGACAUUGAGGACAUGUCUCUCAUGGUGCUGCGGACCAAGAGGCCCCGCCAAGCUCCCAGAGGGCUACAAGCUCACCAUGCACAUCUCUCAGGGUGAUGGAGAGACUAUCAGAGU
Molecule: long non-coding RNA, 192 nt
Organism: Larimichthys crocea (large yellow croaker)
Lineage: Eukaryota; Metazoa; Chordata; Actinopteri; Sciaenidae
Exons: 2
Source: RefSeq, a predicted model, not a curated record